Molecule: long non-coding RNA, 547 nt
Filed under: Ananas comosus (pineapple)
Lineage: Eukaryota; Viridiplantae; Streptophyta; Magnoliopsida; Poales; Bromeliaceae
Description: long non-coding RNA (ACOM_LNC039645)
Source: RNAcentral
UAUAUAUAUAUAUAUAUAUAUAUAUAUAUAUAUAUAUAAUUGAGCUAGAAUACUUUUAGAAGCACCAACCCCUUGGUGCUUCUAAGUUUCUAGCCCUUGGAUCUACUCCUUAAUUACUAAUAUCCCUUGGAUUAAACACUAUUCCACCUAUCACCACCUACCACCAUCAUCUCAACCUCAUAUCUCUCCAUCCAAUAGCUAAAAACUCAAAAGUACCACCUUCAUGGUGCUUUUAAGAGUAUUCUAGCUCAACUAUAUAUAUAUAUAUAGAGAGAGAGAGAGAGAGAGAGAGAGAGAGAGAGAGAGAGAGAGAGAGAGAGAGAGAGAGUCCGGCUAUGGUGCUUGUAAAAGCACCAAGCACUUGGUACUUGUAAAUUUUUUACUGUUAGAUCUAUGCCUCGGAUCAUUUUCAUCCGUUAGAUUAUACUAUUCAACCAACCACCCACUCAACCCUAAAGGGCCCACAUCAUCAUAACCGCACAUUCUUUAAGCCAAGGGUUAAAAACUUACAAGUACCAAUAACUUAGUACUUUUAAAAGCAUAGGAG